AUGGCAACCAAGAAACACGGUCCUACACCCUUUGAGGAACCUCCCUCCGCCUCUUCCUGUGAGGAAGAUUCAGUUAAAAGGGAUCAACUGAGGCGUAAGGUUUCGCACUCUGAACAAAAGCAAUGGAAGUUUCACCAAAGAGCAUGGUCAAAAAGCUUUUCAACUUUUCCAGAAGAUUGGAACACCGAAAAAAGAUUGGAACAUCUGUUGAUUUAUCAAUGUUUUGAACAUUUCUACUGA
Vicia faba (fava bean) is the source of this 240-nucleotide non-coding RNA. The record is from the annotation of a GenBank genome assembly. Lineage: Eukaryota; Viridiplantae; Streptophyta; Magnoliopsida; Fabales; Fabaceae.